Molecule: ribosomal RNA, 325 nt
Filed under: uncultured eukaryote
Lineage: Eukaryota
Description: partial 18S ribosomal RNA
Rfam family: Eukaryotic small subunit ribosomal RNA
Source: RNAcentral
CCCUUAGAUGUCCUGGGCCGCACGCGCGCUACACUGAUGCAUUCAACGAGUUUUACCUUGGCCGAGAGGCCUGGGCAAUCUUUUAAACCUGCAUCGUGAUAGGGAUAGAUUAUUGCAAUUAUUAAUCUUGAACGAGGAAUUCCUAGUAAACGCAAAUCAUCAAUUUGCAUUGAUUACGUCCCUGCCCUUUGUACACACCGCCCGUCGCACCUACCGAUUGAAUGGUCCGGUGAAGCCUCGGGAUUGUGGCCAGUUCACUUUAUUGGGAGUUGGCUGUGAGAACUUGUCUAAACCUUAUCAUUUAGAGGAAGGUGGAGUCGUAACA